AGGUAGCUUGCUACCUGACCUAGCGGCGGACGGGUGAGUAAUGCUUAGGAAUCUGCCUAUUAGUGGGGGACAACGUUCCGGAAGGAACGCUAAUACCGCAUACGUCCUACGGGGGAAAGCAGGGGAUCUUCGGACCUUGCGCUAAUAGAUGAGCCUAAGUCGGAUUAGCUAGUUGGUGGGGUAAAGGCCUACCAAGGCGACGAUCUGUAGCGGGUCUGAGAGGAUGAUCCGCCACACUGGGACUGAGACACGGCCCAGACUCCUACGGGAGGCAGCAGUGGGGAAUAUUGGACAAUGGGCGCAAGCCUGAUCCAGCCAUGCCGCGUGUGUGAAGAAGGCCUUUUGGUUGUAAAGCACUUUAAGCGAGGAGGAGGCUCCUUUAGUUAAUACCUAAAGUGAGUGGACGUUACUCGCAGAAUAAGCACCGGCUAACUCUGUGCCAGCAGCCGCGGUAAUACAGAGGGUGCGAGCGUUAAUCGGAUUUACUGGGCGUAAAGCGUGCGUAGGCGGCUUUUUAAGUCGGAUGUGAAAUCCCUGAGCUUAACUUAGGAAUUGCAUUCGAUACUGGAAAGCUAGA
RNAcentral lists this ribosomal RNA (577 nucleotides) under uncultured bacterium. Its description in RNAcentral is "bacterial SSU rRNA". It matches the Rfam family "Bacterial small subunit ribosomal RNA", at positions 73 to 645 of the family's 1533-position model. The record is from RNAcentral.